RNAcentral lists this long non-coding RNA (1038 nucleotides) under Sus scrofa (pig). RNAcentral's name for it is "lncRNA (ENSSSCG00070018334.1)". Lineage: Eukaryota; Metazoa; Chordata; Mammalia; Artiodactyla; Suidae. The record is from RNAcentral.
AUGAUCACAUCCCUCCUUCACAGAGGAGGGCAGGGCCCAGCCCCCCAAGCCUGCACGGCUGCUCUCAGCACUAGCUGCUGUGUGACCUUGAGCUGGGCCCUCACCCUCUCUGGGCCUCCCGCAUGUUUACCUCCUGGGAAAAUCAGGCAAAGGACAGUCUCUAAACACCGCCUGGGCUUGUCAAAGUCGGCCCUGUCCCAUCCGUCUGCAGAUUCCUUCGACCCUUCCCUGCCCUUAUGCGUCUUUCUGGGACUCACGACCCUCUGUUCGCAAAAAGCAACCUGCCGUCUCUGUCGUUGUCCUGAUCCUCCCGCACACGCAGCCUCCACUCACACUGGGCCUGGGCUGGGGCUUCGCGGUCAGCACCAUCCAUCUGCCCCUGAGCCAAGCUGGCCGGGCAGACCACAACAUGUCCCAAAUCAGAGAGGCCAACUGGGCCCCGUGGCCAGCAAGGGUGGACUCCAGGUGCCACCCACCAGUGAUGACGACAGAAAUAAUCACCAUGAUAAGCGCGGCGAUUCCCGAGCACACCCCCCGCCCCAGGCCCGGUGCAAAGUCCUGCACGGUCUCAUCCUUCUUAGAACCACCUCUGCUUUACAGACGGGGCAACCACGGCCAGCGAGGUCAAGGCCAGCUCCCCAUCACGCCUGGAGUCCUGAGCCCCUCGGCAUCACACGUGUCAGCCACAAGUGGGCCACCACCUUGCCCUGGAUCCAUCCUUCCCUAUCUGGUUCCUCUACUCGCCACUCCCUGCCUAACAGAGCUGCAGCCAACAUAGAAUGCCCCCUGGCAGAUGCCCUGAUCCAUCUCCAUUAUGCCUGGCACAGAGCAGAGCCUGUGAGUGAAGCGUGGAGAUGCCACAGCCAGCCCUGCCCCUGCUGGCUCCACUGCCUUCUGCCUCCAUUCCGGGGGCACCUGUGUGUGGGGCUGCUCACCAGGCUCAGGGUGGCCCACAGCAGCAGGCCAGGCCUCCACCUUGUACCAAGGCUGGGCCUGAGGCUUCACUCCCUGGCUGUGGGACUGUGGGCCCAUUACUAA